RNAcentral lists this ribosomal RNA (793 nucleotides) under uncultured bacterium. RNAcentral's name for it is "bacterial SSU rRNA". It matches the Rfam family "Bacterial small subunit ribosomal RNA", at positions 93 to 863 of the family's 1533-position model. The record is from RNAcentral.
UAGUGGCGCACGGGUGAGUAACGCGUAGAUAAUCUGCCUGAUGAUCUGGAAUAACACUUCGAAAGGAGUGCUAAUACCGGAUAAGCUCACGACGGCUUUGGUCGUUGCGGGAAAAGGGGGGGACCUUCGGGCCUUCUGUCAUCAGAUGAGUCUGCGUACCAUUAGCUAGUUGGUGGGGUAAGGGCCUACCAAGGCGACGAUGGUUAGCUGGUCUGAGAGGAUGAUCAGCCACACUGGAACUGAGACACGGUCCAGACUCCUACGGGAGGCAGCAGUGGGGAAUUUUGCGCAGUGGGCGAAAGCCUGACGCAGCAACGCCGCGUGAGUGAUGAAGGCUUUCGGGUCGUAAAGCUCUGUCAGGGGGAAAGAAGUGCAAGGUGGUUAAUACCCGCUUUGUUUGACGGUACCCCCAAAGGAAGCACCGGCUAACUCCGUGCCAGCAGCCGCGGUAAUACGGAGGGUGCGAGCGUUGUUCGGAAUUAUUGGGCGUAAAGCGCGUGUAGGCGGUUUGGUAAGUCUGAUGUGAAAGCCCCGGGCUCAACCUGGGAAGUACAUUGGAUACUGCUAGACUUGAAUACGGGAGAGGGCAGUGGAAUUCCUGGUGUAGGAGUGAAAUCCGUAGAUAUCAGGAGGAACACCGGUGGCGAAGGCGGCUGCCUGGACCGAUAUUGACGCUGAGACGCGAAAGCGUGGGUAGCAAACAGGAUUAGAUACCCUGGUAGUCCACGCCGUAAACGAUGAGUACUAGGUGUUGCGGGUAUUGACCCCUGCAGUGCCGCAGCUAACGCAUUAA